UUUAGAACUAGUUAUUUUAUUAAAUGAUAUUAAUACACAUUUCAAAAGGAUUUCAUUGUUGUUGCCUCUAAAGCAUGUACUUAUUUUGUUUUCCACACUGAACACGUGAGAAUAUCAAUCCAACAUAUCUAAUUUAAAUCUUAACAGGCACCCCAGCCCAUUCAAAAAAAGGAGGGGAAGGAGGGGAGGCAAAAAGGAGAAAAAGCAGUAAUUUACAGCGGCUUCAAAACAGUAACAGCUGAAGCUUACUUCUGCAUGAACCACUGAUAGUGAAUAUUCUGCAAUUAGGAGUUUUAGCAUAUUCACAUUAUCUAGAUAGGUUUGCUGUACCAUAUACAUCACAAACAUUGUAUUCCUGGGACUGGAAAGGAUGAAAGGCCUAUUCUCUUAUCAUUUUACCCUCCCUGGAAAUAAACCAAAUUCUAUUUAUUCUCAACAGAAUUUGGGAGGGCAAAUGGGAGCAGGGACAGAGGUUGAAUCUAAGCUGACUGAAGGGUAAACUUUUACAGAAUAUUUAAGGACUCAAUUUCUGAUAUUGGAUCACUGAAUUUUAAGUGGUACCAGUGUACUCAUGCCGUACCCACUGAUUCUCUGUCUGUGAUUUUACAGUGAGCACCAAGAACCUUAGUAACAACUUCGCAUUAUCUGUUUGCAUACUGAAUCAUGUCCUUGCCAAGACACACUAUACUAUGCUUUUUUAAAAAUCUUGUUCUGAGGUUGAAAUACAAAAGUCAGAGCAUGGGCACGGAGUUUUAAAUCACAGACACAGAAAGAAUAAAACCCCUUUGUUUCAUGUUAUGAAUACCAGAAUUAUCUUAUUUCACUAUAUCACAUAUAUAUACACACAUCGUUGUCUUCACUGACUGCUGUAGGCAGAUGUCCUUCAAGUUAACAAACAGCUGACAGUUACAUACAAAUCCUUAUUUCCAUCCUGAAACAAAUGGAUUUUGUGGCUUAAAAAAACAAAACACACUCCACAGAAACCCAACCCUUAAAGUCCAUCUUUUAUAACUGUACAAGGUCUUCCCUUUCAUGUACUAGCUAUCAUGCUUCUGAGGACAAUUAACCUGCCCCAACAUUCAGGAAACCACUUUGCUGACCAACCCCCCAUUUUCUGAUAAAAUCAAAUGGUCAGAGAGCCUUUUCAAGUAAACGCUACUUUUAGAUUAAUCGAGAGCAGCAGAAAGAAUUCACAUUCUUUUAUUCUAGAAUGAAAAACAUCCCACUUAAUUUUCUGCAAAAGAAAAAAAACCUAUUUCAGUUUUGAGUUAAAACUUUC
RNAcentral lists this long non-coding RNA (1279 nucleotides) under Bos taurus (domestic cattle). RNAcentral describes it as "long non-coding RNA NONBTAT018003". The record is from RNAcentral. Lineage: Eukaryota; Metazoa; Chordata; Mammalia; Artiodactyla; Bovidae.